CUACGGGGGGCAGCAGCAGGGAAUAUUGCACAAUGGACGGAAGUCUGAUGCAGCGACGCCGCGUGGAUGAUGAAGGCCCUCGGGUUGUAAAAUCCUUUUCAGGGGGACGAGGAAGGACGGUACCCUUGGAAUAAGCGUCGGCUAACUACGUGCCAGCAGCCGCGGUAAGACGUAGGACGCAAGCGUUAUCCGGAUUUACUGGGCGUAAAGCGUCUGUAGGCGGAAUGGUAAGUUGGACGUGAAAGCUCCGGGCUCAACUCGGAGAGGUCGUUCAAUACUGCCAAACUAGAGGGCAUCAGAGGAGCGUGGAAUUUCCGGUGUAGCGGUAAAAUGCGCAGAUAUCGGAAGGAACACCAAUGGCGUAGGCAGCGCUCUGGGAUGAACCUGACGCUAAGAGACGAAAGCUAGGGGAGUGAACAGGAUUAGAUACCCGAGUAGUC
This 440-nucleotide ribosomal RNA is filed under the name uncultured bacterium. Its description in RNAcentral is "partial 16S ribosomal RNA". It matches the Rfam family "Bacterial small subunit ribosomal RNA", at positions 339 to 795 of the family's 1533-position model. The record is from RNAcentral.